ACAUACUAGCUCAUUGGUAGAGCAUUCGGCUAUUAACCGACUGGUAGUAGGUUCAAAUCCUGCGUAUGAACAA
RNAcentral lists this transfer RNA (73 nucleotides) under Rivularia sp. PCC 7116. RNAcentral's name for it is "tRNA-Asn". It matches the Rfam family "tRNA". Rfam says of the family: Transfer RNA (tRNA) molecules are approximately 80 nucleotides in length. Their secondary structure includes four short double-helical elements and three loops (D, anti-codon, and T loops). Further hydrogen bonds mediate the characteristic L-shaped molecular structure. tRNAs have two regions of fundamental functional importance: the anti-codon, which is responsible for specific mRNA codon recognition, and the 3' end, to which the tRNAs corresponding amino acid is attached (by aminoacyl-tRNA synthetases). tRNAs cope with the degeneracy of the genetic code in two manners: having more than one tRNA (with a specific anti-codon) for a particular amino acid; and 'wobble' base-pairing, i.e. permitting non-standard base-pairing at the 3rd anti-codon position. The record is from RNAcentral. Lineage: Bacteria; Bacillati; Cyanobacteriota; Cyanophyceae; Nostocales; Rivulariaceae.